This 537-nucleotide ribosomal RNA is filed under the name uncultured archaeon. RNAcentral's name for it is "bacterial SSU rRNA". It matches the Rfam family "Archaeal small subunit ribosomal RNA", at positions 462 to 997 of the family's 1478-position model. The record is from RNAcentral.
CAGCCGCGGGAACACCGGCGGCCCGAGUGGUGAUCGUGAUUAUUGGGUCUAAAGGGUCCGUAGCCGGUUUGGUCAGUCCUCCGGGAAAUCUGAUAGCUCAACUAUUAGGCUUUCGGGGGAUACUGCCAGACUUGGAACCGGGAGAGGUAAGAGGUACUACAGGGGUAGGAGUGAAAUCUUGUAAUCCCUGUGGGACCACCUGUGGCGAAGGCGUCUUACCAGAACGGGUUCGACGGUGAGGGACGAAAGCUGGGGGCACGAACCGGAUUAGAUACCCGGGUAGUCCCAGCCGUAAACGAUGCUCGCUAGGUGUCAGGCAUGGCGCGACCGUGUCUGGUGCCGCAGGGAAGCCGUGAAGCGAGCCACCUGGGAAGUACGGCCGCAAGGCUGAAACUUAAAGGAAUUGGCGGGGGAGCACAACAACGGGUGGAGCCCUGCGGUUUAAUUGGACUCAACGCCGGACAACUCACCGGGGGCGACAGCAAUAUGUAGGCCAAGCUGAAGACUUUGCCUGAAUCGCUGAGAAGUGGUGCAUGG